UGGGGAAUUUUGGACAAUGGGGGAAACCCUGAUCCAGCCAUCCCGCGUGUGCGAUGAAGGCCUUCGGGUUGUAAAGCACUUUUGGCAGGAAAGAAACGUCGCGGGUUAAUACCCCGCGAAACUGACGGUACCUGCAGAAUAAGCACCGGCUAACUACGUGCCAGCAGCCGCGGUAAUACGUAGGGUGCAAGCGUUAAUCGGAAUUACUGGGCGUAAAGCGUGCGCAGGCGGUUCGGAAAGAAAGAUGUGAAAUCCCAGAGCUUAGCUUUGGAACUGCAUUUUUAACUACCGGGCUAGAGUGUGUCAGAGGGAGGUGGAAUUCCGCGUGUAGCAGUGAAAUGCGUAGAUAUGCGGAGGAACACCGAUGGCGAAGGCAGCCUCCUGGGAUAACACUGACGCUCAUGCACGAAAGCGUGGGGAGCAAACAGGAUUAGAUACCCUGGUAGUCCACGCCCUAAACGAUGUCAACUAGCUGUUGGGGCCUUCGGGCCUUGGUAGCGCAGCUAACGCGUGAAGUUGACCGCCUGGGGAGUACGGUCGCAAGAUUAAAACUUAAAUGAAUUGACGGGGUCAUAGCUGUUUCCUG
RNAcentral lists this ribosomal RNA (586 nucleotides) under uncultured bacterium. RNAcentral describes it as "partial 16S ribosomal RNA". It matches the Rfam family "Bacterial small subunit ribosomal RNA", at positions 355 to 1376 of the family's 1533-position model. The record is from RNAcentral.